UUUUUUGACUUUUGCUUUUUGCCACUAAAGUUUGCUUCUUUGAUUUACCCCCUCAACACUCAUUCCCAAAACACACACGAUCAUCCUUUAUCAUCUCUGCAACCCAAUUCUUCUCAAAACCCUAACACCAAACUCAUCAUCACUGCUCCACCAUCCAUCUCCGGCACCACCAUAUAUUCCAGAAGGGUGAAAUAUGUGUGCCGGCCAUGGUGAAUCUACAAAUCAAAACUUGAAGUCAGGCACUCCGGUCAUCGAUCUCAACAACUUCGACAAUGAUUCAUCCACUUCCGGCGACCGAUUUAGCCAGAAGACACACAGUACCCCAUACUCCAUACUCCAACCACAACAACCACAGCCAGCAACGAGUUCGAGUGAGGACCGCGCAACGGCUAGGGUUUCACGGGAUCAACAAGUAAUGGAGGUGGUAGCUACGAUUAUGUUGGUUAUUGUUCCUAUUGAAGCAUCUACAUUAAAGCAACUUUGCAGGUUCUGCCAGUUUACGUUUUGUACGAUACGAUCACAGAAUUAAAGGUAUGUUUUUUGAUAUUACACUGAUCAAUUACGGCCGUUUGUACUUGAAUUCAGCUCAUAUUUGGAAUUGUGAUGUAGUUUCUUGUGGUUUAUUAUCGCAAUUAUGAGUUUGUGAUGCAAUUUUUGUGGUUUAUUAUUGCGAUUCUGAGUUUGUGAUGCAGAUUGGUUGUUUAUAUUGCAAGUCUGAAUUUUUAGUGAUUUUAAACAUAAUUGUGAAUCAAUGUCUGGACCGCUUGAUCAAUUUGCAAGCUCUCAUGUAUUUGAUGUUCAUGGGCUUUUGAGGGGUGACAAGGCAAAGAUGAGAGACCAGAGAGAAGAAAAAGAUAGUUUGAUUUUGAAUACUCGAGAGAUGAAAGGAGAAUAAUAACUGAUUCAUUGAGAAAGGAAAGCACUAAAUGCAUCUACUUAAUUCAAACAUUCUGCUAAGAAAAAGAGCAAUAAAAGAAAAAGUGAUGGGCGAGUCAAUUCUGUUUUAAUUGGGGAUGUUAGAGAUGCAGAGGAGUACGUGUUUUUGAUGCGUUCAGACAAGCGUUCAUCUUGGAGGAAUUGCUACAUGAGAAAAUUGAUCAUUAUCAUAUGAUUUUGAGGUAGGAAACAAUGAAUUGAUAAAGUGUGUUUUGCAUUUUCUGGGGAACAAAGAGCUUUUGAUUAACUUUUGGUUGAACUUCAUGCUUUUAAUCGAAUUGAUUUGGGGAACAUAAUACAACAGAGCAGAAUGCCAAAAUACAGAGCACGACUAGAUCAAUCCAAAUUUUCAGAACACGCAGAUCUUCACCACAUGCCGCUAGCACCACCACCCCUACACCACCACCGCAAACUCCACCAUACUCAAGAUCUAGAAGAUGCAUCUUAGGAGCCACUAGAAAAACGAGCCGGGUCGUCGCCGUUUUGGAAGAUGCAAACGAGGAGCAGCCAUUUUGGAAGAUCAAGAUCUGGAAAACGAGUCACUGUUUUGGAAGAUGCAAACUAGGAGCAACAAUUUUUGGGUCGGAGUAUAAUUCGGAUCUCAAAAUUUGGGGGUUAAAGAAAUUUGGGGGUACAAACGAGGAGCAGCCAAAGUGAUUAUUUGUGGUGUCUUAUUGUGUGUGUAUACAAGCAACAUAAAGGUUUUAAUUAUUGGAAGAUUGAGAAAAGUGCAUCUUUGAAUUUUAUAUCUCACAUUGAUUUAUAUCUCAAUUCUCAAAUAUUUGUGA
Helianthus annuus (common sunflower) is the source of this 1724-nucleotide long non-coding RNA. RefSeq lists it as uncharacterized. NCBI's taxonomy places the organism in Eukaryota, Viridiplantae, Streptophyta, Magnoliopsida, Asterales, Asteraceae. The record is from RefSeq and is a predicted model, not a curated record. The transcript is spliced from 3 exons.